UAAUACAUGCAAGUCGAGCGAACGGACGAGAAGCUUGCUUCUUCUGAUGUUAGCGGCGGACGGGUGAGUAACACGUGGAUAACCUACCUAUAAGACUGGGAUAACUUCGGGAAACCGGAGCUAAUACCGGAUAAUAUUUUGAACCGCAUGGUUCAAAAGUAAAAGACGGUCUUGCUGUCACUUAUAGAUGGAUCCGCGCUGCAUUAGCUAGUUGGUAAGGUAACGGCUUACCAAGGCAACGAUGCAUAGCCGACCUGAGAGGGUGAUCGGCCACACUGGAACUGAGACACGGUCCAGACUCCUACGGGAGGCAGCAGUAGGGAAUCUUCCGCAAUGGGCGAAAGCCUGACGGAGCAACGCCGCGUGAGUGAUGAAGGUCUUCGGAUCGUAAAACUCUGUUAUUAGGGAAGAACAUAUGUGUAAGUAACUGUGCACAUCUUGACGGUACCUAAUCAGAAAGCCACGGCUAACUACGUGCCAGCAGCCGCGGUAAUACGUAGGUGGCAAGCGUUAUCCGGAAUUAUUGGGCGUAAAGCGCGCGUAGGCGGUUUUUUAAGUCUGAUGUGAAAGCCCACGGCUCAACCGUGGAGGGUCAUUGGAAACUGGAAAACUUGAGUGCAGAAGAGGAAAGUGGAAUUCCAUGUGUAGCGGUGAAAUGCGCAGAGAUAUGGAGGAACACCAGUGGCGAAGGCGACUUUCUGGUCUGUAACUGACGCUGAUGUGCGAAAGCGUGGGGAUCAAACAGGAUUAGAUACCCUGGUAGUCCACGCCGUAAACGAUGAGUGCUAAGUGUUAGGGGGUUUCCGCCCCUUAGUGCUGCAGCUAACGCAUUAAGCACUCCGCCUGGGGAGUACGACCGCAAGGUGAAACUCAAAGGAAUUGACGGC
Molecule: ribosomal RNA, 887 nt
Filed under: uncultured bacterium
Lineage: Bacteria
Description: bacterial SSU rRNA
Rfam family: Bacterial small subunit ribosomal RNA
Source: RNAcentral